GUUGUCUCAUUGACACCCAUUCCACUACUUCCCUACUCGAGCUAUAAUAAGAUUACAGUUGAUAAUUAAAGUAAGAUUUUGUACUUGAUUUUUAAAUCCUUAUCAAGUUUCAAAAGAGUAAAUAAACAACCAUAUGAUUUUUACUACUAAAUAUGUAUGAAUAAAGGAGAUGUGGGAUAUACAUAUAUUGGACAGCAACCAAACAAAAAUAACUAAGACACUUUGUAAAAUUUCAUUUUUAAAAUAAGUUCUCACAUGUCUCACUGAAUAGUUUUUUGUUUUCAGAAAUAACAGAUAUUUGUCACAAAGAAGAUUUACCAUGUACUAGGAGAAACAUAUGAGUUGUGUUGCCAUCAGGUGUUGUUUGCAAAAUAAGGGAACAGUUCCAAGCUGAACAAUUAACAAACUUUAAAUAGCCCUAAUGACCACAC
This 431-nucleotide long non-coding RNA is filed under the name Mytilus galloprovincialis (Mediterranean mussel). Lineage: Eukaryota; Metazoa; Mollusca; Bivalvia; Mytilida; Mytilidae. The record is from RNAcentral.